Molecule: non-coding RNA, 876 nt
Organism: Chrysemys picta bellii (western painted turtle)
Lineage: Eukaryota; Metazoa; Chordata; Testudines; Emydidae
Source: RefSeq, a predicted model, not a curated record
AUAUAGGUGUGCAUGCGUCGUGUGCACCGUCGCUGGAAGACUUUUUCCCCUAGUGGUAUCUGUCGGGUCGGCUCUGGUGCCCCCUGGAGUGGAGCCUCUAUGGUGCGGUAUAUAGGCACCUACUGGCCCGCCCCCUCCUCAGUUCCUUCUCGCCAGCAACUCCGACAGAGGGGGAGGAGGGUGGAUUGUGGAAUGGACAUGAGCAACACAUCUCAAAGAACAAGAGUUAUGGAAAGGUUAGUAACUGUUUUUCCUUCUUCAAGUGCUUGCUCAUGUCCAUUCCCAUAUAGGUGACUGCCAAGCAAACACUCAGGUGGAGGGGUCGGAGUUCCUGUGAGACACGGACUGGAGGACCGCUGCACCAUUCCUCACCUGCUGAGUAAGGGUGUAGUGCUCCGUGAGCGUAUAGAUAGACUACCAGAUCAGCGCCCUGCAGAUGUCUACAAUUGGACAAGGGCCACAAAUGCUGCUGAUGAGGAAGAGGACUACUAUCGGAAUCACUUGCUAAGGAAGAGAUAGGAGCAUUCCGGCGACUGCCACGGACGGAAAGAAGGAACUGAGGAGGGGGCGGGCCAGCAGGUGUCUAUAUACCAUGCCAUAGAGGUGCCACUCCAAGGGGCACCAGAGUCAACCUGAUGGAUACCACUAGGGGAAAAUAGUCUUCCAGUGACGGUGCACGCAACGCGCGCACACCUAUAUGGAAAUGGACACAAGCAAGCCCUCGAAGAAUAAGACUCUUGAAAAGCAAAACCAGCAUCUUCCUAAGGUUUGGGACACAGAGAAAGCUGAGGGCUAGAGGUAUGGAGAGAGGGCCCCUCCCUGUGAGAUUCCAGAGAUUUAAAAAAAAAAAAUAGAUUAUGCCGUCCAAGUAAAACA